CCAUUAUUUAUUUCUGUUUGAGUUGUGGUGAUCCAGCUGUGUCAGAUUAGUACUUACAAAUUGUCUGGCCAGCACUAUUCAUUUUUUUCAAGAUUUAGUUGUUGUUGUGAACAUUCUUUGUCUCGUACAGAUGUUCCCGGCUGUUGAGGUUGUUGAAUUACUUGAUUGAAUCAUUUGGAAAAAGACCCCCUGUGAGCUUGCGUACAAAUACACUAAAAUUAAAACCACAUUAACUCAAUUUCUUGAUGUAUGUACAUGGCACCGAAGAUUUUAUAGUUAUCUCUGCUGUAAAUUCAUCACUGCCUUAUUAAGCAUUCUCUCUCUUUAUCUUGCUUGUGGGGUUUGCACACCCGUAGAAGGGAUCUUGUUGCUGCUCUUAUUCCAAGGGGUGUUAGUCUGGAUCCGAUAGGAAAAUGGUCAAAGGUAUGAUUAGUUGUGUACGACUCAACUAUUUUGUUUGGUGCCACUGUUGAAUAUAUGGCAGGACAUUACAUGAAACAAGGUGAAAGUUCAUUUUUUACCAUUGAAGGCUCUUGCUCCUCAGGAGAAGGAGCGAACAGUUGAUACGGCGUAAGGUUUCCACCCACUCUGAUAAUCCCUUUGCAAUAAUUCAUUUGUCUAAGUAAUAUAUAACUGUGUUUGCAUGUAUGUAAGCCUUCAUAUGCUAUGCGAGCGAUGAUUACAACGAAGGCAUGACUGCGGGCGACGAAGGAGGGCACGGCCGGGUGUGGUAGCCGUCGGAGGAGACGAAGGGAGAGACGAGGAGAGGAGAGCGGAAUGCUGAGACCGUGGGCCGCAAAGGAAUCCUGCGCGGCGGCUGGGCGCGAUCUGGAGAAGCGCAAUAUUUCGCCAAUAGGUUUAGAGACGAGGAUCCGGAGAAAUAUUAUGCUCAGUCGUCCUAUUGUAUUAACC
Molecule: long non-coding RNA, 912 nt
Organism: Aegilops tauschii subsp. strangulata
Lineage: Eukaryota; Viridiplantae; Streptophyta; Magnoliopsida; Poales; Poaceae
Source: RefSeq, a predicted model, not a curated record